RNAcentral lists this long non-coding RNA (294 nucleotides) under Homo sapiens (human). Its description in RNAcentral is "non-protein coding lnc-SYT13-5:1". The record is from RNAcentral. Lineage: Eukaryota; Metazoa; Chordata; Mammalia; Primates; Hominidae.
GAUGGAUUGUAAGAAAGAUAAAUCUUCAUCUUCCAUCACAGUGAGAAAGUGGAGUUCGAAGAUGUCAUCAGCCCAGGUCACACAGAUGGUGGAGACCAGUGUGGAGCCCGGGAGUGGGCUGAGCAGAGCAUCUGGACUUUGAGCUUCCAUCAGACCCUGAGAUAGUCACCUGUCCUGGCUGCCUGGUGACCCUGGUGUGCUAACGUGGCACUUAUCUUGCUCUAUGGAGGCCCCUGGGCCCCCUAAACACCAGGCUAGAUCUAGAAAAUGCCACGCAUUUCUGCCUUGCUCUCC